GAUGAACGCUAGCUACAGGCUUAACACAUGCAAGUCGAGGGGCAGCAUGGUCUUAGCUUGCUAAGGCCGAUGGCGACCGGCGCACGGGUGAGUAACACGUAUCCAACCUGCCGUCUACUCUUGGACAGCCUUCUGAAAGGAAGAUUAAUACAAGAUGGCAUCAUGAGUCCGCAUGUUCACAUGAUUAAAGGUAUUCCGGUAGACGAUGGGGAUGCGUUCCAUUAGAUAGUAGGCGGGGUAACGGCCCACCUAGUCUUCGAUGGAUAGGGGUUCUGAGAGGAAGGUCCCCCACAUUGGAACUGAGACACGGUCCAAACUCCUACGGGAGGCAGCAGUGAGGAAUAUUGGUCAAUGGGCGAGAGCCUGAACCAGCCAAGUAGCGUGAAGGAUGACUGCCCUAUGGGUUGUAAACUUCUUUUAUAAAGGAAUAAAGUCGGGUAUGGAUACCCGUUUGCAUGUACUUUAUGAAUAAGGAUCGGCUAACUCCGUGCCAGCAGCCGCGGUAAUACGGAGGAUCCGAGCGUUAUCCGGAUUUAUUGGGUUUAAAGGGAGCGUAGAUGGAUGUUUAAGUCAGUUGUGAAAGUUUGCGGCUCAACCGUAAAAUUGCAGUUGAUACUGGAUAUCUUGAGUGCAGUUGAGGGUAGGCGGAAUUCGUGGUGUAGCGGUGAAAUGCUUAGAUAUCACGAAGAACUCCGAUUGCGAAGGCAGCCUGCUAAGCUGCAACUGACAUUGAGGCUCGAAAGUGUGGGUAUCAAACAGGAUUAGAUACCCUGGUAGUCCACACGGUAAACGAUGAAUACUCGCUGUUUGCGAUAUACAGCAAGCGGCCAAGCGAAAGCGUUAAGUAUUCCACCUGGGGAGUACGCCGGCAACGGUGAAACUCAAAGGAAUUGACGGGGGCCCGCACAAGCGGAGGAACAUGUGGUUUAAUUCGAUGAUACGCGAGGAACCUUACCCGGGCUUAAAUUGCAGAUGAAUUACGGUGAAAGCCGUAAGCCGCAAGGCAUCUGUGAAGGUGCUGCAUGGUUGUCGUCAGCUCGUGCCGUGAGGUGUCGGCUUAAGUGCCAUAACGAGCGCAAUCCUUGUUGUCAGUUACUAACAGGUUCCGCUGAGGACUCUGACAAGACUGCCAUCGUAAGAUGUGAGGAAGGUGGGGAUGACGUCAAAUCAGCACGGCCCUUACGUCCGGGGCUACACACGUGUUACAAUGGGGGGUACAGAGGGCCGCUACCACGCGAGUGGAUGCCAAUCCCCAAAACCUCUCUCAGUUCGGACUGGAGUCUGCAACCCGACUCCACGAAGCUGGAUUCGCUAGUAAUCGCGCAUCAGCCACGGCGCGGUGAAUACGUUCCCGGGCCUUGUACACACCGCCCGUCAAGCCAUGGGAGCCGGGGGUACCUGAAGUGCGUAACCGCGAGGAGCGCCCUAGGGUAAAACUGGUGACUGGGGCUAA
RNAcentral lists this ribosomal RNA (1453 nucleotides) under uncultured organism. RNAcentral's name for it is "SSU rRNA". It matches the Rfam family "Bacterial small subunit ribosomal RNA". The record is from RNAcentral.